AAAACCUCGGAGAAUUUUCACUGCGGUCCUGCGCGAAUCCAGUAGUUUUCAUUAUAACCUCGUACGAAGUGUUGCAUUUGUUCUCUUGACUCUUGGGAUAUUUCAUUUUUUUUUCAUUAUCGCCUCGUGUUCAAGUAUUCAAUUGUUUUUUUUUGUUUCGGCAAAUACGAACAAAUUUUACACACGCAGAAGCUCUCAGAAGUUGUCAUUCUUUCAUUCGAUGAAAUCGUUUCAUAAAAAAAAAUAAUUCUUGCAUCGUGUGUACGCGAUGUGGUUCGUGUAUCCGCGUAUUUUAGCAUUUACGUAUCUAUCCACAGAAACGACAAUAGUCUCCAUUGAAUACGAAGGAGUUUGUAUUUAUAGGCGCAAAAAAUAAGUGAAAAUAAAAGAAAAAGAAGACUGAUCGUUCGCUCGGACUCAAUCGAAAUAUAAUAAAUAACUGUUGCAUCAACGCACAAAUUCAAGAGCUGUCAUUCGGCAAUUCUUGACUUUCCGGACUUGUUGAAAUUUCCAUAUUGCAGAAAAUAAUUUUAAAAACAUGGUUGUACUCAGUAAUUUUGUGGCACCACAGGAAGGUAUCAGGCAUGAAGAACCUAACACCACUGUUUUCAUUGAUGACAGAGAAAUUGGUAAAGGGACUCUAUACAUAACCGAGAGUAUAAUAUCAUGGGUGAACAACAGCACGCAACAAGGCUUUUCCCUGGACUAUCUUCACGUAUCGCUUCACGCAAUCUCACGAGACCAAGUAGUUCAUCCAAGGCCGUGUCUCUACGUCCUGGUUGAUGCUAACGUCGAUUUACCUGAUGGUCAAACCACACAGAAUGAUUACAUCAGCGUUGGAGAAGACGAAGAACCGGAAGAACCCCCAAUGACAGAAUUCAUGUUUACACCUGACGACACAAACAGCUUGGAUGCAAUGUUUCAGGCCAUGAACCAAUGUCAAGCCUUGCAUCCGGAUCCCCAAGACAGCUUUUCAGAUGCUGAAGAGGAUAUUUAUGAAGACGCAGAGGACGAUGAUUUUGAGUAUUACGAAGUUGGUGCAGGCGAUGCACCGUACAUUAUACCUGCAGUUUUAGAUUCGUUGCAUUGUAAAAGUGACCUUCAAUAACAGCGAGCGAAUAAAUGGAAGAGCCUCUUAUUGUCACGCCUGGUCCGAAUGACCCCACGAUUUUGCAGUAACAAGUUGCCAGUCAUAAUGGAACUGAUGUGGAGGAGAGCAUGGACGUUGAAGCCGGACAAUUCGAAGACGCGGAAGAAGAUCCGUAAACGAAGGAAAGCCCGAUGGAGAGAGCUUUUGGAAGGGCUACCAGCACUUACGAUUUUCAUUUCAAUUAAUUCCAACAUUAAUUCGCUUUCGUAAGUCAUAACUCGAGAGAAAGUAUCACCGCGUGCAAGAUAUCUCGCGACCCUUUUUUUCUUUCUCCCCCGCAUUUCCUCUCCAGAACAUCAUUCAAGCACUUCAUUUAUAUUCAUUUUGUACUGAAUAAUUAUUUCUUAGGAUCAAAUAAAUAGUACACUAAAAACCA
Venturia canescens is the source of this 1526-nucleotide RNA transcript. It is a transcript of the gene named chloride nucleotide-sensitive channel icln, with no coding region annotated. The record is from RefSeq and is a predicted model, not a curated record. The transcript is spliced from 7 exons. Lineage: Eukaryota; Metazoa; Arthropoda; Insecta; Hymenoptera; Ichneumonidae.